UACGUAGGGUGCGAGCGUUGUCCGGAAUUAUUGGGCGUAAAGAGCUUGUAGGCGGCCUGUUGCGUCCGCUGUGAAAUCCCGGGGCUUAACCCCGGGCGUGCAGUGGAUACGGGCAGGCUGGAGGCAGGCAGGGGAGAACGGAAUUCCCGGUGUAGCGGUGAAAUGCGCAGAUAUCGGGAGGAACACCGGUGGCGAAGGCGGUUCUCUGGGCCUGUACUGACGCUGAGGAGCGAAAGCGUGGGGAGCGAACAGG
Molecule: ribosomal RNA, 253 nt
Filed under: uncultured bacterium
Lineage: Bacteria
Description: partial 16S ribosomal RNA
Rfam family: Bacterial small subunit ribosomal RNA
Source: RNAcentral